AACUUUUCGGAUUCGUGUUGAGAAUUUGUCAGACACCAGUACAUCAGAUCUGAUAAGAUUUGCAAGAUAAGUGAAGUG
Molecule: non-coding RNA, 78 nt
Organism: Schistosoma margrebowiei
Lineage: Eukaryota; Metazoa; Platyhelminthes; Trematoda; Strigeidida; Schistosomatidae
Source: Rfam